Molecule: ribosomal RNA, 271 nt
Filed under: uncultured prokaryote
Description: partial 16S ribosomal RNA
Rfam family: Bacterial small subunit ribosomal RNA
Source: RNAcentral
UACGGAGGAUCCGAGCGUUAUCCGGAUUUAUUGGGUUUAAAGGGUGCGCAGGCGGGAGAUUAAGUCGGCGGUGAAAUUUUGCAGCUCAACUGUAAAAGUGCCUUCGAAACUGGUUUCCUUGAGUGUAGAUGAAGUAGGCGGAAUUUGUGGUGUAGCGGUGGAAUGCAUAGAUAUCACGAGGAACUCCGAUUGCGCAGGCAGCUUACUAAACUACUACUGACGCUCAGGCACGAAGGCGUGGGGAUCAAACAGGAUUAGAUACCCGGGUAGU